CCCGCUCCCGGUAAAACGGGACGGCCCGCCAGAGGACCCCUAAACUCUGUUUCUAUAUGUAACUUCUGAGUAAAACCAUAAAUAAAUCAAAACUUUCAACAACGGAUCUCUUGGUUCUGGCAUCGAUGAAGAACGCAGCAAAAUGCGAUAAGUAAUGUGAAUUGCAGAAUUCAGUGAAUCAUCGAAUCUUUGAACGCACAUUGCGCCCGCCAGUAUUCUGGCGGGCAUGCCUGUUCGAGCGUCAUUUCAACCCUCAAGCACAGCUUGGUGUUGGGACUCGCGUUAAUUCGCGUUCCUCAAAUUGAUUGGCGGUCACGUCGAGCUUCCAUAGCGUAGUAGUAAAACCCUCGUUACUGGUAAUCGUCGCGGCCACGCCGUUAAACCCCAACUUCUGAAUGUUGACCUCGGAUCAGGUAGGAAUACCCGCUGAACUUAAGCAUAU
RNAcentral lists this ribosomal RNA (442 nucleotides) under Fusarium oxysporum. RNAcentral describes it as "eukaryotic LSU rRNA". The stretch from base 91 to 244 matches the Rfam family "5.8S ribosomal RNA". The record is from RNAcentral. Lineage: Eukaryota; Fungi; Ascomycota; Sordariomycetes; Hypocreales; Nectriaceae.